Molecule: ribosomal RNA, 406 nt
Filed under: uncultured bacterium
Lineage: Bacteria
Description: partial 16S ribosomal RNA
Rfam family: Bacterial small subunit ribosomal RNA
Source: RNAcentral
AUUGAACGCUGGCGGCAGGCCUAACACAUGCAAGUCGAACGAGUGGCGGACGGGUGAGUAAUGUCUGGGAAACUGCCCGAUGGAGGGGGAUAACUACUGGAAACGGUAGCUAAUACCGCAUACAAUCGGAUGUGCCCAGAUGGGAGUAGCUAGUGGGUGGGGUAACGGCUCACCUAGGCGGCGAUCCCUAUCUGGUCUGAGAGGAUGACCAGCCACCCUGGAACUUGGACCAGGUCCAGGCUCCUACGGGAGGCAGCAGUGGGGAAUAUUGCACAAUGGGCGCAAGCCGGAUGCAGUCCUGCCGCGUGUAUGAAGAAGGCUUUCGGGUUGUAAAGUACUUUCAGCGAGGAGGCGUUACUCGCAGGAGAAGCACCGGCUAACUCCGUGCCAGCAGCCGCGGUAAUAC